UUUGUGUAAAAUCAUGCUUUAAUCUAUUGGGUUGUUAUGUUGAUCUUUCACUCGAAUUGGUUUGUGGUGAAUGGUUUAAUUUCAACACAACCUCGAUCUAAGAUUCUGUCAGCCUUAUCUCCAUUAUCUUCUUGUGCAGGGUCUUCCUUGUUUAACUGUUUUUGGAUGAUUGAAAUUCUGAAAUUCAUCCAUUAAUGAUUAAUCUUGCCAUCCAUGUUUAACUGUUCAAGUAAUCUAACAGCAAGUGAAGUGAGCAAUUGUUUUAAGG
Molecule: long non-coding RNA, 268 nt
Filed under: Olea europaea (common olive)
Lineage: Eukaryota; Viridiplantae; Streptophyta; Magnoliopsida; Lamiales; Oleaceae
Description: long non-coding RNA (OEUR_LNC006817)
Source: RNAcentral